This 251-nucleotide ribosomal RNA is filed under the name uncultured Hymenobacter sp. RNAcentral describes it as "partial 16S ribosomal RNA". It matches the Rfam family "Bacterial small subunit ribosomal RNA", at positions 526 to 777 of the family's 1533-position model. Lineage: Bacteria; Pseudomonadati; Bacteroidota; Cytophagia; Cytophagales; Hymenobacteraceae. The record is from RNAcentral.
CGGAGGGUGCAAGCGUUGUCCGGAUUUAUUGGGUUUAAAGGGUGCGUAGGCGGCUUUUUAAGUCCGGGGUGAAAGCCCGUUGCUCAACAACGGAACUGCCCCGGAAACUGGAGAGCUUGAGUACAGACGAGGGUGGCGGAAUGGACGGUGUAGCGGUGAAAUGCAUAGAUACCGUCCAGAACCCCGAUUGCGAAGCAGCUGCCUAGACUGUAACUGACGCUGAGGCACGAAAGCGUGGGGAGCGAACAGGA